UGCAAAAAAUUCGCCCUUUACCUUGUUAUUACUUAGCCCCAAUCACCGGUUUCACCCUAGGCCGACCCUCGCGGUCACGGACUUCAGGCGCCCCCGGCUUUCAUGGCUUGACGGGCGGUGUGUACAAGGCCCGGGAACGUAUUCACCGCGCCAUGGCUGAUGCGCGAUUACUAGCGAAUCCAGCUUCGUGGGGUCGGGUUGCAGACCCCAGUCCGAACUGAGGAUGACUUUAAGGAUUGGACCGAUGUUGCCAGCGGCCGGCCCUCUGUAUCACCCAUUGUAACACGUGUGUAGCCCCGGACGUAAGGGCCGUGCUGAUUUGACGUCAUCCCCACCUUCCUCACUCCUUGCGGAGGCAGUGUCCCCAGAGUGCCCGGCCAAAACCGAUGGCAACUAGGGAAAGGGGUUGCGCUCGUUAUGGCACUUAAGCCGACACCUCACGGCACGAGCUGACGACAACCAUGCAGCACCUUCACAGAGACCCCGAAGGGCAUCACCAUCUCUGGAUCUUUCCUCUGCAAUUCAAGCCCGGGUAAAGUUCCUCGCGUAUC
Molecule: ribosomal RNA, 551 nt
Filed under: uncultured bacterium
Lineage: Bacteria
Description: partial 16S ribosomal RNA
Source: RNAcentral